This is a long non-coding RNA of Sinocyclocheilus grahami, 120 nucleotides long. RefSeq lists it as uncharacterized. Lineage: Eukaryota; Metazoa; Chordata; Actinopteri; Cypriniformes; Cyprinidae. The record is from RefSeq and is a predicted model, not a curated record. The transcript is spliced from 3 exons.
CAGGACUUCAGGCUUUAAAAGGUGAUCGAGGAGUGCAAGGGUUGCCAGGGAAACCGGGGCCACCAGGACCCACGGGAGCAUCAAAACCAAACAUUGGUACAGUUGGAUUGCCAGGAAAAA